This 269-nucleotide ribosomal RNA is filed under the name uncultured bacterium. RNAcentral describes it as "partial 16S ribosomal RNA". It matches the Rfam family "Bacterial small subunit ribosomal RNA", at positions 85 to 353 of the family's 1533-position model. The record is from RNAcentral.
UUGAUGGCGACCGGCGCACGGGUGAGUAACACGUAUCCAACCUGCCGAUGACUCGGGGAUAGCCUUUCGAAAGAAAGAUUAAUACCCGAUGGCAUAGUUCUUCCGCAUGGUGGAACUAUUAGAGAAUUUCGGUCAUCGAUGGGGAUGCGUUCCAUUAGGUUGUUGGCGGGGUAACGGCCCACCAAGCCUUCGAUGGAUAGGGGUUCUGAGAGGAAGGUCCCCCACAUUGGAACUGAGACACGGUCCAAACUCCUACGGGAGGCAGCAUG